Molecule: transfer RNA, 73 nt
Organism: Actinobacillus succinogenes 130Z
Lineage: Bacteria; Pseudomonadati; Pseudomonadota; Gammaproteobacteria; Pasteurellales; Pasteurellaceae
Rfam family: tRNA
About the family: Transfer RNA (tRNA) molecules are approximately 80 nucleotides in length. Their secondary structure includes four short double-helical elements and three loops (D, anti-codon, and T loops).
Source: Rfam
GGGGAUAUAGCUCAGCUGGGAGAGCGCCUGCCUUGCACGCAGGAGGUCAGCGGUUCGAUCCCGCUUAUCUCCA